GACGGAAGGUGCAAGCGUUGCUCGGAAUCACUGGGCGUAAAGGGUGCGUAGGCGGCUUGGUAAGUUGGGUGUGAAAGCCCCGGGCUCAGCCCGGGAAGGGCACUCGAAACUGCCGAGCUGGAGUGCCGGAGGGGAGAGUGGAAUUCCUGGUGUAGCGGUGAAAUGCGUAGAUAUCAGGAGGAAUACCGGUGGCGAAGGCAGGUCUCUGGGCCGAUACUGACGCUGAGGAGCGAAAGCGUGGGUAGCAAACAGG
Molecule: ribosomal RNA, 253 nt
Filed under: uncultured bacterium
Lineage: Bacteria
Description: partial 16S ribosomal RNA
Rfam family: Bacterial small subunit ribosomal RNA
Source: RNAcentral